AGGAAGUUAAUCCGAUCUUUCAACUGGAGCGAAUCUAGGUGGUACCUUUCCUGAGCCAGUAAUCAAACACCGACAGGAUAGCCUCCUGGUGGAGGAACCACACAACAUACAUUCACAUGCAACGUGUCUCACCGUUAUGGGAAUGAUGACAUUUGCGAAGCACUAAUAUCACAGGUAUAUUGCAGUGCAGUAAGUAAAAUGCAUUCGUACACAUUCAUCCAAAUGUAAAUGCAACAUCCACACACAAGCAUAUAAAAGUUUUGAAAAGCUUGUAGUAGCGGCUUAAAUCCUC
This 292-nucleotide long non-coding RNA is filed under the name Panax ginseng (ginseng). RNAcentral's name for it is "long non-coding RNA (PGIN_LNC014419)". Lineage: Eukaryota; Viridiplantae; Streptophyta; Magnoliopsida; Apiales; Araliaceae. The record is from RNAcentral.